Molecule: transfer RNA, 72 nt
Filed under: Candidatus Nanopusillus sp.
Lineage: Archaea; Nanobdellati; Nanobdellota; Candidatus Nanoarchaeia; Nanoarchaeales; Nanopusillaceae
Description: tRNA-Thr
Rfam family: tRNA
About the family: Transfer RNA (tRNA) molecules are approximately 80 nucleotides in length. Their secondary structure includes four short double-helical elements and three loops (D, anti-codon, and T loops). Further hydrogen bonds mediate the characteristic L-shaped molecular structure. tRNAs have two regions of fundamental functional importance: the anti-codon, which is responsible for specific mRNA codon recognition, and the 3' end, to which the tRNAs corresponding amino acid is attached (by aminoacyl-tRNA synthetases). tRNAs cope with the degeneracy of the genetic code in two manners: having more than one tRNA (with a specific anti-codon) for a particular amino acid; and 'wobble' base-pairing, i.e. permitting non-standard base-pairing at the 3rd anti-codon position.
Source: RNAcentral
GCCGCCGUAGCUCAGCGGUAGAGCGGCCGGCUUGUAACCGGCAGGUCGCGGGUUCAAAUCCCGCCGGCGGCU